CCUACGGGAGGCUGCAGUGGGGAAUAUUGCACGAUGGGCGCAAGCCUGAUGCAGCCAUGCCGCGUGUGUGAAGAAGGCCUUCGGGUUGUAAAGCACUUUCAGCGGGGAGGAAGGCGGUGAGGUUAAUAACCUCAUCGAUUGACGUUACCCGCAGAAGAAGCACCGGCUAACUCCGUGCCAGCAGCCGCGGUAAUACGGAGGGUGCAAGCGUUAAUCGGAAUUACUGGGCGUAAAGCGCACGCAGGCGGUCUGUCAAGUCGGAUGUGAAAUCCCCGGGCUCAACCUGGGAACUGCAUUCGAAACUGGCAGGCUAGAGUCUUGUAGAGGGGGGUAGAAUUCCAGGUGUAGCGGUGAAAUGCGUAGAGAUCUGGAGGAAUACCGGUGGCGAAGGCGGCCCCCUGGACAAAGACUGACGCUCAGGUGCGAAAGCGUGGGGAGCAAACAGGAUUAGAUACCCGGGUAGUC
This 465-nucleotide ribosomal RNA is filed under the name uncultured Klebsiella sp. Its description in RNAcentral is "bacterial SSU rRNA". It matches the Rfam family "Bacterial small subunit ribosomal RNA", at positions 338 to 795 of the family's 1533-position model. The record is from RNAcentral. Lineage: Bacteria; Pseudomonadati; Pseudomonadota; Gammaproteobacteria; Enterobacterales; Enterobacteriaceae.